Long non-coding RNA from Piliocolobus tephrosceles (Ugandan red Colobus), 866 nucleotides. RefSeq lists it as uncharacterized. Lineage: Eukaryota; Metazoa; Chordata; Mammalia; Primates; Cercopithecidae. The transcript is spliced from 3 exons. The record is from RefSeq and is a predicted model, not a curated record.
UUUAACCAAAACAGUUUUGAAUCGGAUGAAUUACCAAAUUUGGUUGGGUCUUGUUUGGCUUUCUGCUUUGCCUUUUAAUCAGCCAUUUACCAGCAACUGUUGCACGGGCCCAUUAGCACUCGAAGAAUAAAAACAAACACACAGGACCAGAUAAGGUUCCCCUACUAACCCAAAUGAUCCGUUUCCUUAACAAUUUUAAAACCACAGCUAGGGGUGUGAAAACAGGCUUGUUUUUGUGUGUGUUUGUGUGCCACAAUCUGUCCAAAUCCUUAAUUCCCUUUUAAGGAACAGAUAUAUAAUAAAAAUCCGAAAGGAACCACAUUAGAAAUGCAAAGAGGUUUGCAAAACAAGAGGCUUCUUUCAUUCCAGAAAACCACACCAAAACAAGGGGAGAAAAAUGAAAGCAAUGGAUAUGCGUUUGCCAAAGUUUCAAUCUUGCCUGGUGGAGACACUGCACCGGCACAAAGUCUAAGGAGGAAAAAGAGGGGGCUGGCGGCGGAAGUGGGGAGAGAGCAAGCGAGUGUGGCCUGCAAACUGCAACAAUUUUGAACAACGCGCCUCUUUCCUCUUAUAAAUCUAGUUUUUUUGCCACUUGAUGUGCCCUCGCAUUACCCCUCUGGGGGUCGGCGGAGUUGGGGGGAGAUCGGAGCAGGAUGCACAGCACAGGAGUGAGCAAGCGGGGAGGGUAGAGGAGGCACAACAUCAACGUGGUACUAGAAGAGGAGGGAUUCACAAGAAUUGAAAAUUGAUGGGGAAGAGAAGGGAAAGGUUGAAAGAAUUAUACAGUUACCAGCCUGACCAACAUCGUGAAACCCCAUCUCUACUAAAAAUAGAAAAAUUAGCCAGGGCUGGUAGCACAGGCCUGU